CCUACGGGAGGCUGCAGUGAGGAAUUUUGCGCAAUGGGGGAAACCCUGACGCAGCAACGCCGCGUGAGUGAUGAAGGCCUUCGAGUCGUAAAGCUCUGUCAAGUGGGAAGAAGUCAUGCAUGGCCAAUAUCCAUGUAUGUUGACGGUACCACUGAAGGAAGCACCGGCUAACUCCGUGCCAGCAGCCGCGGUAAUACGGGGGGUGCAAGCGUUACUCGGAAUCAUUGGGCGUAAAGGGCGCGUAGGCGGCCUGAUCAGUCAGAUGUGAAAGCCCGGGGCUCAACCCCGGAAGAGCAUUUGAUACUGUCAGGCUUGAGUAUGGGAGAGGAAAGUGGAAUUCCUGGUGUAGAGGUGAAAUUCGUAGAUAUCAGGAGGAACACCGGUGGCGAAGGCGACUUUCUGGACCAAUACUGACGCUGAGGCGCGAAGGCGUGGGGAGCAAACAGGAUUAGAUACCCCAGUAGUC
Molecule: ribosomal RNA, 466 nt
Filed under: uncultured Desulfobacteraceae bacterium
Lineage: Bacteria; Pseudomonadati; Thermodesulfobacteriota; Desulfobacteria; Desulfobacterales; Desulfobacteraceae
Description: bacterial SSU rRNA
Rfam family: Bacterial small subunit ribosomal RNA
Source: RNAcentral